RNAcentral lists this non-coding RNA (24 nucleotides) under Arabidopsis thaliana (thale cress). Lineage: Eukaryota; Viridiplantae; Streptophyta; Magnoliopsida; Brassicales; Brassicaceae. The record is from RNAcentral.
AUGGGCAGCUGGAUUGGAUGGUUU